RNAcentral lists this ribosomal RNA (253 nucleotides) under uncultured bacterium. RNAcentral's name for it is "partial 16S ribosomal RNA". It matches the Rfam family "Bacterial small subunit ribosomal RNA", at positions 524 to 776 of the family's 1533-position model. The record is from RNAcentral.
UACGUAGGGUGCGAGCGUUGUCCGGAAUUAUUGGGCGUAAAGGGCUCGUAGGCGGUCUGUCGCGUCGGUAGUGAAAACUCAGGGCUUAACCCUGAGCCUGCUUCCGAUACGGGCAGACUAGAGGUAUGCAGGGGAGAAUGGAAUUCCUGGUGUAGCGGUGAAAUGCGCAGAUAUCAGGAGGAACACCAGUGGCGAAGGCGGAUCUCUGGGCCAUUACUGACGCUGAGGCACGAAGGCCAGGGGAGCAAACGGG